UGUUUAGUCAGCGUGCUUCCCGUACCAGUUUGUGUUAGUAAUUUUGUGUCAAGCGUUCCAGGGUUUUUUACUUGUGUUAGUUAUCCUGGUUGUUUAGAUCCUCGCUCGUGUUUUUUGACCUUGCUCUUUUCAGAUUGUUUGCCUGUCUGAUUGCCUGCCUGUGUACCGGACCAGUUGUGAAAAUAGAGAUUUUUGAUUUUCCUUUGAACCUGUCUCCAGAGUCCAGCACUUGAGUCCUCAUCUCUGCACACCAGUCUUGUCAAUUAUAAAAUUCUGCCUUUCCAGGCUUUGGUGAAGAUGCUAUCCUGCAUACUGUUGCCCUAUACCAGGUUUAAAUCCCAGCUCCGCUCAAGACUUCGCUCACCAGGAACUUUACAGCAACAACUGGAGGGAGAACAAGAGCUGAACCAGAGGAGGACGCUGUCCAGAGGUCGGAGCGGUGGAUCACAAGAUGAAGGGCUUUCCCCAGAAGACGGCUGCUCAGAACUGUGUGAACUCUGAGUGAAUUCUGUGUCAUUUUAAAGACCUGUUUUCAUCCACUGGCUGUUCUCAGUGUUUACAGUGGAGGGGACACAAAACUGACGAUACAAGUGCUCACAGUCAGGGAGAUUUUCAGCGGUUAAGAGACGUGUCCCUCAUUUAAAACCCAUCAGUUUGGCAGCAGGAGGAGCCGAUAUGGACGCUUCACAGCAGGCUCGUA
Molecule: long non-coding RNA, 700 nt
Organism: Plectropomus leopardus (leopard coralgrouper)
Lineage: Eukaryota; Metazoa; Chordata; Actinopteri; Perciformes; Serranidae
Source: RefSeq, a predicted model, not a curated record